Molecule: ribosomal RNA, 356 nt
Filed under: uncultured bacterium
Lineage: Bacteria
Description: bacterial SSU rRNA
Rfam family: Bacterial small subunit ribosomal RNA
Source: RNAcentral
GGACUCGCACAAGCGGUGGAACAUGUGGUUUAAUUCGAUACUACGCGAAAAACCUUACCAAGUCUUGACAUGUUAGUCGUAUAGUUAAGAAAUUAGCUAGUCAGUUUGGCUGGACUAUCACAGGUGUUGCAUGGCUGUCGUCAGCUCGUGUCGUGAGAUGUUGGGUUAAGUCCCGCAACGAGCGCAACCCUUAUCUUUAUUUGCUACCAGGUUAUGCUGAGAACUUUAAAGAAACUGCCAAUUAAAAACUGGAGGAAGGUGAGGAUGACGUCAAGUCAGCAUGGCCCUUAUGACUUGGGCUACACACGUGUUACAAUGGUAGUGACAAUAUGAUGCAAUAAGAUGACUUGAGCAGA